UACGUAGGGUGCAAGCGUUAAUCGGAAUUACUGGGCGUAAAGCGUGCGCAGGCGGUUUUGUAAGUCUGACGUGAAAGCCCCGGGCUCAACCUGGGAAUUGCGUUGGAGACUGCAAGGCUUGAAUCUGGCAGAGGAGGGUAGAAUUCCACGUGUAGCAGUGAAAUGCGUAGAGAUGUGGAGGAACACCGAUGGCGAAGGCAGCCCCCUGGGUCAAGAUUGACGCUCAUGCACGAAAGCGUGGGGAGCAAACAGG
This 253-nucleotide ribosomal RNA is filed under the name uncultured bacterium. Its description in RNAcentral is "partial 16S ribosomal RNA". It matches the Rfam family "Bacterial small subunit ribosomal RNA", at positions 524 to 776 of the family's 1533-position model. The record is from RNAcentral.